AAAUUUCAUCACAAUGGCCAAUUCUAGAGUUCAAAUACUUCGUAAAACGUUCCACAAACGCCGAUUCUGCUUGUAAGAACUUCAUCUCUACUUUGUUUACAAUCAAACAAGACAGGAUUUCACCAAACUCAAGAAACUACUCUUGUUCAGAGCUCAAGUCAUGUUAAGCACCUUGCUCUUCGGACAACGAAGUCAAAACAGAAAAAAAAAACAAAAAAACAAAAACAAAAAACAAAACUGAGGAAAAGUAGGAUGUCGAGUGUUAUGAUACAGAUGACGGGUCAAUCGUGUGUGGAUUGGAUCACGAUGGAGAUGAACCUCGGAAGCAGGCAUCUGACGCCCGUGUGAGGCUGUUGGUUUUUUCGCAGACAUGAAGACCUUUGGCUGUGGGUCUAGUUACGGAGCUGUGAUAACGAGACGUGACAUCAAUACAAUUGGACCUGAGAGAAACUGAGAUUCGUGUAGAAUCACGGUGAAUGUAGGGUGGGUCUUUUCUGCUGUGCAGUACUACCACUACUUCUACUUACUACUACUAUCACAAUGAUCCAUCAUUCAAGAGAAGUCUCAACAGCACACAAUCAGACUGCAGCAGCAGCAAUGACGAUGGUGGGAUUGCAGCACCAGUGCAGUCGGUACCAAAGCGUGAACUCCAAGCUCCACUCCAUUCCAUUCCACUGCAUUGCACUCCACUCCAUUUCACUUCAAUUCAGGCGAGAGAGAGAGAGGGAGAGUACAAUGUGUAGAGAGUGAGGGACAAGAUGUGUGUGUACUCAAGGCUCUCACCUCAUUGAUUCAUUCAUGUCUCAACACCAGGAAUGGAGUGU
This 824-nucleotide long non-coding RNA is filed under the name Physcomitrium patens. RNAcentral's name for it is "long non-coding RNA (PPAT_LNC011146)". Lineage: Eukaryota; Viridiplantae; Streptophyta; Bryopsida; Funariales; Funariaceae. The record is from RNAcentral.